RNAcentral lists this non-coding RNA (23 nucleotides) under Arabidopsis thaliana (thale cress). The record is from RNAcentral. Lineage: Eukaryota; Viridiplantae; Streptophyta; Magnoliopsida; Brassicales; Brassicaceae.
UAUAACGGGCCUGCGUAAUAGGC